Molecule: transfer RNA, 63 nt
Filed under: Curculionoidea sp. 17 KM-2017
Lineage: Eukaryota; Metazoa; Arthropoda; Insecta; Coleoptera
Description: tRNA-Gly
Source: RNAcentral
ACUUUAAUAAUAUAAAUAUUAUAUUUAAUUUCCAAUUAAAAAAUCUGACCUUCAGUUAAAGUA